UUUCCCAGAAGGAGCCUGUGCUUGUAAAUUGCAUGUGGUUGCAUGCUGAAUUCUGCAUCCCAAUGUAAAAGACGGAGAUCACCAAGGUCAGCCCUGAUUUGCAGCCUUUGCUCUUUCCUGUCCGUGCUGGUUCAGGAAAACAUUCAUCAUCGCGGUGACUUCCUUGUAACCUUUCCAAGUUCUUCACGUUCCUCAUUUGUUCAGACUGGACAGUUCUCUGGUGAGAGUCUGGCCAGACAUCUUGUCUCUUUAACCACCCAAUGAGGUGUAUCACCACCGGUUUCCUCCUUGCCUUCAGCCCUCUUAGUUGCUCACAAGACACACGUGGAUAGGCAGCUGAUACUUAAAAACUCUGAUCUGGGAUUCUUUCCAGAAAUGCCUACAGCGGUCAGUGUGUAGAAAUCAGCAUACAUUGAACAGGAAGCGAUGAGGUGGGGGCUGUAGCAGUGGCCUCUGAAAGGACUGAGUUGAGAUCCAGGAUUGGCCUCUCAGUGACUUGUUUCCUUUUCCAUGACUGCUUCCAGAUUCCUGGGAUGUGCUGCCCAGAUUCCUCCUCGGGCUGGAAGGAUUUCUUCUCUCAGCUGCUGGAAGUGUUAUCCACCAGAAGAGAAGUUUCUACAUCAUUGGAUGUGAAUGAGGAACGUGCAUGGAGCCUUUGAUGAGGAAAGACGCUUGCUGAGAUCACAGCUGACCUGGGAAGGAGAAGGCGAGAAAUAAUCACAAGAUUUGACCUACUGGCUCACACUACACCUGCCCAGCCACAUCGGAAGACAGCCUUCCCCUGGAUUUCCCAAUUUGUGAGCCAAUAUGUUUACUCUUAGGCUAGUUGACUUCAAGUUCCCCAUCUGUAAAAUGGCAUUAAUGAUACUGCAGCCUACCUUAUGGGGAUGUUUUAGAGAAUAAACCAUCAAUGCAUUCAGC
RNAcentral lists this long non-coding RNA (921 nucleotides) under Homo sapiens (human). RNAcentral's name for it is "HSALNT0399418". Lineage: Eukaryota; Metazoa; Chordata; Mammalia; Primates; Hominidae. The record is from RNAcentral.